Molecule: ribosomal RNA, 439 nt
Filed under: uncultured bacterium
Lineage: Bacteria
Description: bacterial SSU rRNA
Rfam family: Bacterial small subunit ribosomal RNA
Source: RNAcentral
ACGCGUGGAACCUUACCAGGUCUUGACAUCCUUCGCUACUUCUAGAGAUAGAAGGUUCCCCUUCGGGGGACGAAGUGACAGGUGGUGCAUGGUUGUCGUCAGCUCGUGUCGUGAGAUGUUGGGUUAAGUCCCGCAACGAGCGCAACCCUUGAUCUUAGUUGCCAGCAUUCAGUUGGGCACUCUAAGGUGACUGCCGGUGACAAACCGGAGGAAGGUGGGGAUGACGUCAAAUCAUCAUGCCCCUUAUGACCUGGGCUACACACGUGCUACAAUGGAUGGUACAAAGGGCUGCAAGACUGCGAAGUCAAGCGAAUCCCAUAAAACCAUUCUCAGUUCGGAUUGCAGGCUGCAACUCGCCUGCAUGAAGCCGGAAUCGCUAGUAAUCGCGGAUCAGCAUGCCGCGGUGAAUACGUUCCCGGGCCUUGCACACACCGCCCGU